CUCCCUGCCUCUCCCUCCAGGCUUCAAAGACCCUAUUUUAUACAGACAACUUCAAAAGGCCGUCUGAGCUUUGGCUCUCCGGCCUCACCCUUGGAGCCAGGACAGAGCGAGACAGACCCUGGAGACACUACAGAUGGGGCAUGACGGCAGGGGGACCAAAGAUCAUGCAAGUCAGUCCAGAAAACAGGAACAGAAAGAAUCCAUGUUGGGUUUUACAAGGGCAAAAUCAAGGUGUCAGCCAGGCUGGGCUCUGAUCAGGAAGUUUCGGGAAGAAUCAUUUCCAAGGCCGUUUGGCCAUGGCAGGUCGAGUCUUUACCAUCCACGAACUCUCUCUGCUUCCUUUUCUGACUUCAGCUGGAAAGAGUUCUCCAAUUUGAAGAGUUCGUGGGAUUAGAUUC
Long non-coding RNA from Neogale vison (American mink), 398 nucleotides. RefSeq lists it as uncharacterized. The transcript has 3 exons. NCBI's taxonomy places the organism in Eukaryota, Metazoa, Chordata, Mammalia, Carnivora, Mustelidae. The record is from RefSeq and is a predicted model, not a curated record.